Molecule: small nucleolar RNA, 98 nt
Organism: Capra hircus (goat)
Lineage: Eukaryota; Metazoa; Chordata; Mammalia; Artiodactyla; Bovidae
Gene: U8
Rfam family: U8 small nucleolar RNA
About the family: U8 is a member of the C/D class of snoRNA which contain the C (UGAUGA) and D (CUGA) box motifs. U8 is the RNA component of a small complex (the U8 snoRNP) which is required for accumulation of mature large subunit ribosomal RNAs, 5.8S and 28S rRNAs.
Source: Ensembl
GCAUCAGGUAGGAUAAUCCUUACCUGUUCCUCCUCUUGGAGGGCAGAAUAAAUGUGAUUUGAUACUUUAGAGGUGGGAAAGCUCCCUCACAAUCUUAG